UUCCAAUAUUUCUAAUUUGUAUUAUUACUCUAGGGUGCAGAUCGUAAUAUACUUGAAAUUAUUUGGAAAUUUUCGUGUUUUCAAAUGUAUUGAAGGGAAAAAUACAGAAAAGUACCUGUAUUGAAAAAAAAGUUGUGUUGCAGAUUUACUAAACCGAAUUUAAAUAUAAACGAUGAUUUGUGCUUUGAGUUUGUGCAAUACUUUUUAACAAGAAUAACAUUACACAAAUGACAUAUUAUGAAAGGUGCAAUAACAAGUUGGCGACAAGAAUUUUUACCGUCGAACCUGUUGGCUCAAGAACGAAGUUCUAACAGGUCACAUCGGUAUUUUUGUAUAUUGCUUAAUACCAAUGUACCAAUGUAUCAAUCUUCACAUCGUUGAGAGGCAUAUUCUAUUUUCAUAAUUACUGGGUUUGUAAAAACAAUGCUUUGAUAUGCCUCCGAGCCUUAUGUAAGAUUUGUCGAUUUUUUCUUAUUGUCCACAUCCUGUCAAGUCCCUCUAUUUUAAAACUAUAUAAUCUAGAAUACUAACGCUAAAUUUUUUUGGAUUUUUAUAUAUUUUUAAGUAGGUACAUAACUGUGCAAAUAUAUUUUUCAGUGCAAUAAUAAUACUUCUAAUAAUAUAACUACUAACAUUUAAUUAAUAUUUUUUACAAGUUUAUAAUUACUAUUAAUGUGUCCUAGUUGUUGGAUAAAACUCGUGCGAAUGAUUUUACCCUAAAAUGUUUGAACAGUGCAUAAAUAAUUUUAAAGAAUGUGCUACAUUUUAUAAUAUAAUAAGGGAACAUGUUCAAGAUAUUUUCUAAUUGUUAUUUAGAAGGGAUGUGAACAAUAUUAGGCAGCAAUUAGCAAAGAUGGGUUUUAAGUCGUCGUGGCCUAAAGGAUAAGACGUCCGGUGCAUUCGUACCUUGCGAUGCAACGGUGUUCGAAUCCCGCAGGCGGGUACCAAUUUUUCUAAUGAAAUACGUAGGUACAUACUUAACAUAUGUUACGAUUGACUUCCACGGUUAAGGAAUAACAUCGUGUAAUAAAAAUCAAACCCGCAAAAAAUUAUAAUUUGCAUAAUUACUGGUGGACCUCUUGUGAGUCCGCACGGGUAGGUACCACCACCCCGCCUAUUUCUGCCGUGAAGCAGAAGGCUUCAGUAACCACUUAACAUCAAGUGGGCUGUGAGCUCGUUCACCCAUCUAAGCAAUAAAAAAAAUUGUUAAGUGAAGUUAAUAAAAGCUUUAUAUCUUCCUAUAUAUUUUGUAUUUAAUUUCAAGUAUAUUUGAAACUAUCUCAGAGACCAUACAAGAAGUGCAAUUCAGUAUAUGUGAUGAAGGUGAAAUUUCUUUGAUCUCAAAGAGCUAAAAUAGCCAAGUGUUUUGAAGGUCCUUCACUUCUCGGUCUAGUCUGCCUGUAACCACUAGGACUACAAAUUUCUUCAUACCCAUUCACAUUAAAUUUUACUAUGAAUGAAUUUCAACUGGAAUAUUUCCACUUCAAAAUGUCAGUUCUUUGUUUAUGUUUAAAUACAAAAAAAUUAAAAGGUUUUGAGAUAUGUUUUGAAUAAAUUGGAUUCACUUUAAAUGCCCUAAUUAAAUACAUUACCAAGCUUCAGUACCCAUUUAUUAAAUUAUUUUAAUGGAAUAAUACAUAUGAUAAUAUUAUAGGAUAAAGGGCUUUAAUAUAAAGCUUACAAAUUCUGGUCAUGUCUAUUCUCAUUAAGUUUUUUUAAGUUAUCAAGACCUGAAAAUGAAGUAUUGUAGUAAUGUGUGUAUGUAAGUAUUAUAGGUAUGAAAUAUGAAUUGUUAACUCUGAAACUUGAUGAUUCAUCAUUUAAAUUCUUCAAUUUAAUUCUUUGUUUAUAUCAGACUUCAAAUAAAAAAGUAGGUUCUGCCCUAUGUUUUUUUCUUUGAACUGAUUUUGAAAACUAAUUAUGCUAUUUUAAAUUAAAAACAUACAAUUUUUUAUUAUGUGUUUUUAAUUAAAAUAAUUAAUUUAUAGUGGAGAAAUCGCACAUUAGAGCAAAUGCAAUCAUAUUUAUCAUGCCUUUGUAAUUUUUUGUAUAUAAUAAAUUACAUGAAUUGUAAGUGUAGGCAAUUGGUUGGGAACAAAAUUUAAACAUGUAAAAAAAUUAUUGAGUUAAUAAGACAUCAGUGACUUUCACUUGAUGUAUUUUUGCAUAAUUUCUCCUAAUAGUCUGUGGAGAUACAAAUUUUGCUCCACCUCAAUGCUGCGUGCAAAUUGGUGGAGAUUGGGUUCAGAAUGGAACCCAAGGGUGUUCAUAUUUUUAGCCGCACUAAGGCUAACUUUGUUCAAUUUUACUGUAUAGUUACAUGAACCAACUGCCUACAUGUUAAGGCAUAUAAAUAUCAUAAGAAUGUUGAAUUUGGUAUUAAUUUUUCUGAAUCAUACCAUUACUUUAAACCUUACAUGUACGAAUCUCCAUUUCGAAUAUUUUGAUAUUAAUAGGAAUAGGAUUUUAUAUAAUAAAAAAAAGUAGUUCUUAAUUUUCAUAGACCUUUAACUAAUAAUUUGAGAUUCCGCUUUAUGAAUUGAAAUAUCAAUAGGCUAUUCUGAAAAUUUAAUGAGAAGUCUAAAUUAGUAUGAAGAUAAUCCAUGAAUAUGACGUUUCAAAACGGCGAAAUAUAGAGAAAAAUUUAAAUUAAUUUAAUAUCCGGGUAUAUUAAAAUCUAUUGAGGAUUAGUUAAGUUGUAGAAACUUCAUGACUAGCAUUUUAUUGCUCAAAUAUUAAUAUUUCCAUAGACUUUUAGGUAAAUGAGAACAUAAAUAUAAAGUCUUUCAAUUUU
Bombyx mori (domestic silkworm) is the source of this 2794-nucleotide long non-coding RNA. RefSeq lists it as uncharacterized. The record is from RefSeq and is a predicted model, not a curated record. The transcript has 2 exons. Lineage: Eukaryota; Metazoa; Arthropoda; Insecta; Lepidoptera; Bombycidae.